Long non-coding RNA from Mercurialis annua (annual mercury), 1046 nucleotides. RefSeq lists it as uncharacterized. The record is from RefSeq and is a predicted model, not a curated record. The transcript has 8 exons. NCBI's taxonomy places the organism in Eukaryota, Viridiplantae, Streptophyta, Magnoliopsida, Malpighiales, Euphorbiaceae.
UCGAAGAGGCGGUUUCUAAAUUCGCCGGUGGUUUCCUAUUUUGAAAAUAUAAUGACGGUUUAUAGAGGGGGCUAUUAAUUUCGUCGCUAAACAAUAUGAGAGUAAAAUGACACGCGUAGAGUAAUUAAAUACUAGCCUCUAGCCUUCUAGAACCUUUCCAAAAAGAAAGAUUGUAGAAAACUAUUUUCUACCCUAAUCAGAAAUCAAUCGUGAGAGAACCUCACUUUUCCACUCCUCUUUACUCAAAGACAACAUCAUUUUCCCUCUUCUCUGAAUGUAUGAAGAUCGGAAUGUAGAUGAAGAACAGGUUUUGGUAGAUUGAUUUGAUUUUGUAAUUACUUGGCCGAUUGUGGCAAAAAAUGAAGAUUGAUUCUCUGAAUGUGCGAAGAUCGGAAUGUAGAUGAGAGACGAUGAUAUAAGCUCUAAAAUUUUGAUAUCGGUUCAGUUUAUGAAAAAAAUUCUAUUUGUUUUUGUAUGUUUGGCUUUCUGAAGAAAGAAUUGUUGUAGUCUGCAGAGUUUGAUGCUCACUCAUAUUGAUUUUUGAUAUUUCUUCUGCGAGUGGAAGUUUCAGGAGUACUUUCUUGUGUAGCCACAUCAGUACUUGCUGUUUGCGUUCGUAUCCAGGUGAACAAAAAAAACAAGGGAUUCAAGUGAUGAAGCAUUGACAGUCCACAAACCUGGAACUCAAACUUAAAAGUUUUUGUUAUGCCUCUGACAUGAUCCUAAUGUUCACAUCGUAUGGAUAGAGAAUGCAGAUGCUAGAUUGAAGGCCCUUUGUGAUAUUGAGCCAGCAUGGAGUAGGCAAAGAACAAUAUUGUGCUCAUACACUCAAAGCAUCAACAGUUAUAUUGCAGUUAUUGAAGAUGAAGAAGUAGAAAUUGUAUUCAUUCAAAUUAUCAGUUUAUGUUUUAUUUUACUCGUACACUUGGAGUAUCAAUGGUUAUAACUAGCCUUAUAAGCUUUGUAAUUCUAUAUACAUAUUCUGUGACUUUUAUUUUGAUGUAAUCAAAUUUUAGUAGUACAAUGUGAUGUACUUUUAAGACCCA